Molecule: long non-coding RNA, 6539 nt
Organism: Mytilus californianus (California mussel)
Lineage: Eukaryota; Metazoa; Mollusca; Bivalvia; Mytilida; Mytilidae
Exons: 2
Source: RefSeq, a predicted model, not a curated record
CUUCGAUACAUCAACAACUGGAUACGUUGCACAUUAUAUCACUCCUGGACUGGACAGUUUUUCUGCUUUACCAAACGGUGACAAUGUCAUUGGGGUAUGGUUAUAUGAAGAUGGAUUCGUUAUCCUAAGCCCUACAACAAAUGGACAGAGGUUGAAUUAUACUAUAUUUCUUGGUGGUGUUUGGACCUUGACAUCAACUAUAUAUAGGAACUUCAACGGUAAAUCAAAACAAGUGGCAAUACACGACACGACAACCAGAAAUUCGAGAUAUUUUUGGAUUGGAUGGUACAACGACAAAAUACAAGUUGGAUUAUCUAGUAUCGUUUCUAAAAAUGUUAUCAUGGAGUAUACUGAUCCUUGUCCAUUCAGAAUCCAUUACGUUGCUGUCAGUAGAGUUACACAUUCAUAUUGGGGGAUACAUCUAGGCGUUGAAUACCAAGAGGACACAUCAUGUAAAGUUACUCAUUGUGACAGUUGUAAACGUUAUACACUUAGAACGAAAUGUCCAGCUUUUGUUAUGAAGAUGUCUGUUGAGGUUAACUCAGAGGACGAAUGCUAUUCCCGAUGUUACAAGGAUGACGACUGCGAAGCCUUCCAUUAUGAUAAUACUGCGCAUGUGUGCCGCUUGUUCACCGAUGAAGUUGAUCCAGACGGCGAAAUCAUAUCUCCAAUUUUUCGAAAGUUACAUUGAGAACUAUAUAACCCAUUUUAUAUUUCAAAGUGCUGAAGAUAUUUUAAAUCGAAAAACGGAGAAAAAAGUUAAGUGAAAUAUUUGAACUACCUGUAUAUCAAAGUCAUACAAACUUUACACUUUGUUUUUAUACAAUUUGUGUGUCUUAAAAGCGUUACAUAAUUGUCUUUUCUGGUUCUUUAUAUUUCUUGUAAUUUUGUUUUAUUUCAGUAGCAUAUCACUUUCGUAAUAAUUGUAUGUACAUUAAGAUUGUGAUAUAAAUCCUAUUGGUGAAAGUGAUUGGGCAGGGUCGAAUAUAAGUAGAAUUAUGAUACGGAUAUUACGAAAAACUUUGUACUCAAGAGGGUCAUUUGUUGAUGUUUGGUAUAUAUAAUUGGAAAUUCCAUCGUGCUAUAUCAUAGUAUUUUCAAACUUUUCGACAGAGCUAACCAAUGACAAAAUUAGUUAUGCCACUUAAUGAGCGAUGUGAUCAGCAUUUUUUUACGUCGAUUAUAUGAAAUAAUCACGGUUACAUCAUUUGUCAGUAUCUAUUUAACAAUUUUCUUUGCAAUCCAAAAGAGAUGAAAAGUGUGUCAGUUUUGUUGGGCGGAAUGUAUAUAUAUACGCGUCUUUAUCCUGUCGAAAUAGUGGAAGGAGAUGCAAAGUUAUUUACACGUUAUAACAACAUUGCAACAACUCUUUGAGAGAUCUUCGGAUUGCCUGUUGCAAGGAAAAAAAUGUUCUUACAAAAAUCACCGUCAUUUUCAAGUGGCUGAAGAAAUCCUGCUUUUCAUGACAUUUGUUCCCUUUUGGAGAACCAAUUUGUAAUAAUCUUAAUCGUGUAGAUGCAUAUCAUUUAACCCGAAUAUCAAUAAAUCAUCAUUCAAUUCAAUCAAUCAAAUUUAUUUUUGUUUGUGAAAUACUGAAUACAUUUGACGAUUUAGAGGACUGCGGAGGAAAUGGACUGAACACAAAGUAGAGUGAAAUUUUAACUUAAACUUUGGGAAAGGAGUAUUUCCACCUUGUUUUCACCACAAUUCUGGUUUCCAUGUAUAGUUAAACAAUACUGUUAUGGGACCAGUGAUGAUGCGAUUUUAAUGAAGAAAAGAAAAGUACCCAACAUGUUUUCGAUGUUUUUAUUCGAAUCAUAAGAAUGGUAAAAUUGAAAAUAUCAUCAGAAGAGAAAAGCUGCAAAUUAUCUGACAUUGACAUCCUACAAAAGAAACAAAAGUAAUGAAAACGUAAAAUGUAAUGGGAUCAGUCAAUUUCUCUACGAAGUCAUUUUAAUAAGAUAUCAAACUAUUUUUCAAUAGUUUUAGUUUUAUGUGUUACUUUUAUUAUUUUUUUUAUUUAGUAUUGCAGUUUUUGUAGACGUUUCUUAAAUGUUGUUAGGUUCAAUGCUGUUUUAAUCGUAUCUCCUUUUACUCAUAUUCAUCAAUUUAGCAUACAUUAAUACACUUAUAUUAUACUAGAUGUCUUUAUACAUAUAUAAUUCGUCCCAAAGUUAGACUAACAAUGUUAUAUCUCAAAUUUUCGUUAGCAAAUUUUAGUUCUUUCCUCAGCGGGAAUUCGAGCCCUUGCUUCUGUGACAUCUUACAUUAGCAAUCUUUUAUAAACUAGUUGUUUUCUUUAAAAAAAAAAAGGGUUUUGAAAGAAUUUUUACAUUAUCUUAAACAGCAAAUUUUCAAAGAUUUCAUGUCAGCACACGAGUUCUAACUACUAGGCUGGUGAUGCCGACGGUGGAAACGCCCACUAGCAGUGACAUCGACAAAAAGGUUGUUAUAUGUAAUCAGAGAUACUCCUUUAUUUUUAAAUCAUUUGAAUUAUGUUCAUUUUGAAUUGUAUGUUUUUUAUACCUAAAUAUUGAUUGUGAAAUACAUCUUCUAUUGUCGUUCUUGCAUUUAGUUUGAUUUGCAACAUGACUUCAAAUACAAUUUUAUCAACUUGAAUAAACAUAUGAUAUAAUGUUUAUUGUUAUUGACUAGAAAUCUAAAUAGGAAAUUAUUUGACAAAUUUACGAAUCUAAAACAUGUGAUGAUAAUAAUAUAUAAUGUAUGAGUUCAGUUAGUUGUCAUAACUGCAAUAUGUCAACAUUGCAGUUAAACAAUAUGUCUAACAGUGUAGUCAAUGUCCAUUUAAUACAGAGUGUUAAAGCACACAAAUCAGUAUGAAGUUUCACAAUACUACUUAGUAUACAUGUGUUUAAUGCAAUAUCAUUGAUGAAUGCAAAGUUGUUCAAAAGGGGAGGGGUUCUUUUGUUUAAAAAUAAAAAAUUGAUUCUUUUAUCAGGAAUAAAUUUUGUAUUCAAUCAUAUAUACAAAAAUUGACAAUUUUAAAUAUGCCAUAGCUGUUUGAGAGUACCCAUCCCACUUUAGAAUCGAAAAAGGCCACAUGAUGCCAAUAGGACGUCAGGAGUGCCUGGACAACACACAACUGUCGCUUUAAAAGUAAUGUAAAAAGGGACUCAUUGACAAUAACAACAGAAAUAACCUGUUGAAUAAUAUACUUAAGUCAUUGGGUGUUUAUGAUAUAUAUACAAACUUCAAUAAUUUCAGUCUAAAAUCAUAUAACGGGGAGGGGGGUUGUUUGCUGAUGGAAUAUUCAUUCUCACGUGUUGCAAAUAUGGCAGUAUUGAUUAUCUAUUUGCAUUAUUGGACACAACAAUGUCCUACAUUUUGUUGUGCAGAAUAAUAAUUUUCAUUGACAAGUGUCUUUUUAUCAAGUUCUUAAAAUAGUUAUUUUUAACAUUCUUCGCCCCACCAAUGGAGUAGUAAAUGGUUGACUCUCUCUAACAUGCAUAUUGACAAAUCUAACUAGCAGAAAAUAUUUAUUUGUCUGCUUUGGGGAAAUAUUUUGGGAUGUAAAAUGACAGUGCAUGAAUACAGAUGAGUGUCAGUUACACACAAGGAAGAACAUAAGGAAAACGUAUAUAAAUAUUACAAAAAGGCUCAUGCCACGGAAUCACCAUGAAAAGAACAUAUCAUCAAAAUAAUGUAAAAUAACCAAAUUGUAUAUUUAUUUAUUUAUUUAUUAUAUUUUGGUAGAUAAGAAGUGGAUAAUAAAUUGCUAAUACUGAUAAUGAAAAAAUAAAAAAAAAGUUAUAUCUAUGUAAGAAUUGUCUAAAAUAUGGAAUGCAAUUCUACAAAAGAGCGGAAUAACCACCCCCCAGCCCCCCCCCCCCCCCCAACCCCCCAUAAGAAGGAUGCAUUAAAAACUCAUAAAACGAAAGGAUACAAUAAAUAAAAACGACAAAGACGAAUCAACUAGAAUUUUGGGGUGAUAUGAGGUGCUCCAGAAGGGUAAGCUGACCCUGCACCAGUAAUGGCAAGCAUUGAUAUCGUAGAUUAGAAAAAAAAAGAAAAAUACAAAAUGGAAAAGUAAUUAGGAUCCAUCCACUGCUUACAUGGUUUUUGCAUAACAUAUUUUUUCAAUAGCCUAAGUCAUAUUUGUUACUAAUAAUGUCAUUUAAUUACAUAAUUGUUUGAAAUAUAGAAGUUUUUCGUAGACUAUAUGUUUUGUGGUUACCUAUCCAAUGUUAUUUAAACAUGUGUUAUCAUAUAUAAUUUCAUUCAAACUGUCAUUAAUGUAUAUACUUUGUCUCACGAGACUACGAUUCUUUAUAUCUGACAUAAGAAUGAUAAAGAUAAUAAUUUAAUUAUUAUUUUUCUGAUUUAACUCUUGAGGAAGUAUCAUGUCUUUUUGUAAAUUUAUGGAAAUUAAAAAAUAAUGUCUUGCGUGAGACGAAAUAAGAAGAAUGUGAGCCAUAUGUAUGUUCGGGCGUUAAAGAAUUAGAAGAGCGUUUUUUUAAACAGAUGAUUUAUGGUCGGAAAUAACUGCCUGUCAUAUGGAGGUCGACCUUGACCUUAUUUUCAUUUUUGAAUUACCUCCUGAAGAGAAAGUUCAAAUAUAAUUUAUGUUUCGUUGAUAAUAUUUCACAUCUUGUAUUGUGAUCGACCGAAUAAUAAGUUUAGAGUUUUAUGAACAUUGAAGACCUUGUUGUGACUAAGAAAUGGAGAAUAGGAAAAAGAAGCAACUAUCAAUGAAAGUAAAUGGUGAUUUUGUGUCAUGAAUAGUACACUAUAUUCUUUCGUAUUAUGUAAAAAUCAAUUGUUUUAAUGUGAUUUCUUUUCACGACAUGGAAAAGUAAUCAGAAUCCAUUCAUUUCUCACCGCAUAGUCAGCUAUAAAAUACAAUUUCAAUAGGUUCAGUUUAUCUGUUAUUGAUAAUUUCUAUCUAAUUAAAUGAUUGUUUGAAAUGUUAUAAUUAUUCGUAGACGAUACAUGAAUGUUUUUAAGUAGCCUGUUUAAUGUUAAAUGAUAUCUCAUUUACUCAUAUUUAUAAAAACAUAUUAUUAAUUAGUAUACUGUGUGUUCUAUGAGUAAAAUUGUUUAUAUCUUAUAUUAUCGAUGCUUUUCAUAGCCAUGUACUUAUUUGUUCUAAUAUAAGGCAAUACUCUAUAUUUUUGUAAAGUAGGAGGUAUGAUAAGAGCCCUUACUUGGCCCUGAAAUUGCAAAAAUAGUAAUAUUGUUCAAGAAUUUCAAAAUUAUGUUAUUUUUGCAUAACUGAAUAGGUUAAUAUAAUUUGGAUACUUUGGUUUAGAAAGGUCACUUGAGGUGUCACAUUUAUGUCAUAAAGGCUGCUGGGGGACUACUACUUCCCGAGGGUGUCAUCAGCUUAGUUGUCUGCUUUUGCACCCGCAUGAUUUAUAAUAUAUACAAAUAAGAAGAUGUGGUAUGAUUGGCAAAGAAACAACUCUCCACAAGCCAUACCGCAGAGUCAGCUAUAAAAGGCCACGAAAUGACAAAUGUGAAAUAAUUCAAAAGAGAAAACUAACGGUCUUAUUUAUGUACAAAAUAAUGAAUGAAAAACAAAUAUGUUACACGGCAACAAACGACAAACACUGAAUUACAGGCUCCUGACUAGGGACAGGCACAUACAAAAUGUGGUGGGGUUAAACUAGUUAGAUGGCGCAAAACCCUCCCCCUAACCUGGGACAGUGGUGGGUCACAGCACAAAUAAGUAGACACUACACAAAACAAUAAACGAAAAACAAAUAUGACAAACAGCAAAAAAACAGCUACUUAGUUACAUGCUCCUGACUUUGGACAGGCAUAUGUAGAGUGUGGUGGGGUUAAACUCGUUUGAAGGCGCCAACACUCCCCAAACCUGGGACAGUGGUGUAACAGUACAACAUGAGAACACUACAUAAAAAAUCAGUUGAUAAAGGCUUAACUCAUCAGAUGGAUACAAAUAGAAAUACAUCUACCAAAAACACAAAUAGGACGUGGAUGGGUACUUACACAUCAACACAACAGAAAGACACUAAGUCCAGAUCUGAGAGUACUCGCAAUUACAUACAACUAGUUCAAAGCCAAUAACAACUAAUGAAAAAAAUCAUGCAUCUUAGACUAAAAUAUAGAACAUGCCUUUCUUAAAUUGUUCGUUCGUGAAAUUAGAAAUUAUUAAGAAACUGAAGUUCCAACUCCCUCAUGCAAAGUUGACAUUUGAUGGUUUUGCUAUUAUUUUUAGAUACCUUCUGGGUCAAACAGUUUUUCCCGUGUUUUGGUACUAAUACAUUUUUAGCUUUAUAAUUUUGGCUUUGGGCGUUCCUGAUGAAGGUUAAUCCAUAAAAGCCAUUUAGACGCACAAUUCUUUAAAGUGUUAUUUUCUUUUUUCGUAGUUAAAGGAUAUAAUGAGUAUCUAAUAGAAUGUUAACAUGAAAUGAAUCAAAUUAAACAGGUUAGACAUUUCCCCGUGUGUACUCUCGUUAAAGAAUUAGUGAUAUUAUAAUUCCAUUUCUAAUUCAUUUAUGUAUAUCAUGUUGCUUGUAUAUUUUCUGUAAAAUAAAAUGAAUAAAAUACAUUUUCUA